RNAcentral lists this ribosomal RNA (480 nucleotides) under Triticum aestivum (bread wheat). Its description in RNAcentral is "partial small subunit ribosomal RNA". Lineage: Eukaryota; Viridiplantae; Streptophyta; Magnoliopsida; Poales; Poaceae. The record is from RNAcentral.
AUGGCCGCCCACAUCGCCAUUGGAUGCAUCGGCGAGGUGUACAACAAGGAUCUUAACGACACCAUAUAUCAGAUAUGUGGAUGCCGAGAUGGGCAAUGGGAGAUGAUCCGCACCAGGAAGGACAGUUCCAUUGCAGCCUACAUACAGGAGUUGAACCAGCACAUUCGACACUAUGAAAACCAGAUGUGCGCCAACAUGAUAGAUAUGAAGAAGGUGAUGACCCAGAACAUGGAGCUGGAGGAAGAACUCAAGUCUACACGCGAUGGAUAUGAAGAAGAAAUUGAUGUACUACUUGAGAAGAAUGAAGACCUAAAGAAGAAGAAGCUAGGAUUCAUGGGGGGUCUUGAACCUGGAGUGGACAUCCGCUCAGAGGAUUACAUCAUACUAGAUGACACAGACUCCAACCCCGACAACGAUGAUUAUUAUGAAGAUGAAGCUGGAGCAGAUAUCAUGGAGUCUUCCACCGAUCAAAAUUUCUAG